RNAcentral lists this long non-coding RNA (243 nucleotides) under Salvia miltiorrhiza (redroot sage). RNAcentral's name for it is "long non-coding RNA (SMIL_LNC003679)". Lineage: Eukaryota; Viridiplantae; Streptophyta; Magnoliopsida; Lamiales; Lamiaceae. The record is from RNAcentral.
AUAUCAUCCAUCAUUCUUCACCUCUCAAAAAUCCUAGCCUCCAUUCUCUACCAUUUUUCUCUCUUCAACACACAAAAACAACGCCAAAAUCAAAGAAAGAAGAUGAAGACUUGGAAAGGAGCUCAUCAAGAUUACAUGAUUGAAGAUCAAGAUUAUAGGAUUUGUCUAUGAAUCUCUAUCUCUCUAUAUCUUUAUUUAUGUUUUCUUAUGACUUGGAAUUUAUUUUUAUUAUGAAUAUGCUUG